GACGAACGCUGGCGGCGUGCCUAAUACAUGCAAGUCGAGCGAACAGACGAGGAGCUUGCUCCUCUGACGUUAGCGGCGGACGGGUGAGUAACACGUGGAUAACCUACCUAUAAGACUGGGAUAACUUCGGGAAACCGGAGCUAAUACCGGAUAAUAUACUGAAGCGCAUGGUUCAAUAGUGAAAGACGGUUUUGGUGUCACUAAUAGAUGGAUCCGCGCCGCAUUAGGUAGUUGGUAAGGUAACGGCUUACCAAGGCAACGAUGCGUAGACGACCUCAGAGGGUGGUCGGCCACACGGGAACUUAAACGCGGACCAGGCUCCUACGGGAGGCAGCAGUAGGGAAUCUUCCGCAAUGGGCGAAAGCCUGGCGGAGCAACGCCACGUGAGUGAUGGAAGUCUUCGGAUCGUAAAACUCUGUUAUUAGGGAAGAACAAAUGUGUAAGUAACUAUGCACGUCUUGACGGUACCUAAUCAGAAAGCCACGGCUAACUACGUG
RNAcentral lists this ribosomal RNA (497 nucleotides) under uncultured bacterium. RNAcentral describes it as "partial 16S ribosomal RNA". It matches the Rfam family "Bacterial small subunit ribosomal RNA", at positions 28 to 507 of the family's 1533-position model. The record is from RNAcentral.